ACAGAGGCGGCAAGCGUUGUUCGGAAUUAUUGGGCGUAAAGAGCACGUAGGCGGCCCUACAAGUCAGCUGUGAAAUCCUUCUGCUCAACCGCAGAACUGCAUCUGAAACUGGGCGGCUAGAGGAUGGAAGAGGGCAGUGGAAUUCCUGGUGUAGCGGUGAAAUGCGUAGAUAUCACACGGAACGCCGGUGGUGAAAACGGGUCACUGGGCCUGUCCUGACGCUGAGACGCGAGAGCGUGGGGAGCAAACAG
Molecule: ribosomal RNA, 251 nt
Filed under: uncultured prokaryote
Description: partial 16S ribosomal RNA
Rfam family: Bacterial small subunit ribosomal RNA
Source: RNAcentral